UUUAAUUCGAAGCAACGCGAAGAACCUUACCAGGGCUUAACAUGCCGCUGACCGGUGCAGAGAUGCAUCUUUACCCUUUCGGGGUACUAGCGGACACAGGUGGUGCAUGGUUGUCGUCAGCUCGUGUCGUGAGAUGUUGGGUUAAGUCCCGCAACGAGCGCAACCCUUGUCUUUAGUUGCCAUCAUUAAGUUGGGCACUCUAAAGAGACUGCCGAUGACAAAUCGGAGGAAGGUGGGGAUGACGUCAAAUCAUCAUGCCCUUUAUGUCCUGGGCUACACACGUGCUACAAUGGUCGGUACAACGAGAAGCAAGUCAGCGAUGGCAAGCAAAUCUCUAAAAGCCGAUCCCAGUUCGGAUUGCAGGCUGCAACUCGCCUGCAUGAAGUCGGAGUUGCUAGUAAUCGCGGAUCAGAAUGCCGCGGUGAAUGCGUUCCCGGGUCUU
This 442-nucleotide ribosomal RNA is filed under the name uncultured Eubacteriales bacterium. Its description in RNAcentral is "bacterial SSU rRNA". It matches the Rfam family "Bacterial small subunit ribosomal RNA", at positions 945 to 1382 of the family's 1533-position model. Lineage: Bacteria; Bacillati; Bacillota; Clostridia; Eubacteriales. The record is from RNAcentral.